UAGGUCUGAGACCACAAUUAUUUCGUAGUGCAUUUCUUUUAGAACAUAAAUGAAAAUUAAAAAAAUCCCACCUGCGCUUUCUCAAUGAAAUUUUUACAGUGUGUUGUACUACUUUUGGGACAAAUUAUAUCAAAAUUAUAGAAAACUUGAUCGGCUCUAACUCAAAAUAUGGACAAUUUUAUGUUUAGGGCGUCUUGAAAUCUUUUGACAGCUUCCAAAGUGCUAAUUUUUAACCUUUUUCAGCUGGACCAAAUCACUACUUUCCCUUAAAAUUCUGGACCCAAAUUUUUUUUUACAGUGUA
RNAcentral lists this long non-coding RNA (302 nucleotides) under Mytilus galloprovincialis (Mediterranean mussel). The record is from RNAcentral. Lineage: Eukaryota; Metazoa; Mollusca; Bivalvia; Mytilida; Mytilidae.